RNAcentral lists this long non-coding RNA (1096 nucleotides) under Marmota monax (woodchuck). Lineage: Eukaryota; Metazoa; Chordata; Mammalia; Rodentia; Sciuridae. The record is from RNAcentral.
CCUGUUUGGUCUCAUUUUUGAGAACAAAAAAAAUUAUUCAGGAGAAAGACUCGAUUAAAUUUUAUAAUAUAGGGAUAUUAGGUUGACUAUUACUUAUAUUACUUAACCAAAGACAAGCCAAAUGAAACAAUAUAACUCUGUGAUUUCCAGGCACAGAGCUUUAGAAUAAGAUCCACACAAAAUUGCUUCUGGUUAUGAUUUGAGGGGUGGUGUAAGCAAGCUUAAUUGAGUUUGCAGGAAUUUUUAAGUUGUUGUUUAUGGAAGGCUGAUCUUGCUGGAGAGAUCCCCCUGGGCUCUACACUCUUCAGUUUCUUACUUCUCCUUUUCCUCCACCCGCCUGUCCCACCUUUUCCAGGAAGCAUCCUUCCCUGCAUAGAAAUGGCCCUCUUCUCUCAUCCUCUCCAGGACUCACCCCUGUCGCAGUCUAGCUGGGCACAAAUCAUGAGCCACUCAAGCAGGAACAAACUUUAUUUCCGAACUCCACCAGCACACUCCACACACGCUCCCGGGAACUCUCCCGAAUGCCACCCACGUGGCUCCUCCAGGAACACCACACACCAACCGGAACUCCCUCCACUGGAACUUCACCAACCAACACGAACUCUUCAGGAAUCCCUGCAAGAACUCAACGGGAACUCCGCGAGAACUCCGCGAGAACUCAAAAGUCAUCAUCUUAAUGGCUCGCUGGCGUCACCUCUCAACCACUACUUCUGGCAAAAAUGCCAUGGGUCAUCCCGACUCGGCUGUGGCCCUCAACACACCCCAGUGAGAGGAAGAACGGCAUUUCUGACUGUGAGAUGAUGAAAAUCUCUUGUCUAUCAGUUCACAUAGUUCAGCUGGGUAAGCAGGGUAAAGUCGAUGCUCACAAGUGGCCAGUUUUUCUUCAGUUCUCAGUGGAAUCCGAAUCAUACCACAUCUCCAUGACAUGAGUUAGGCUAGGGAACAACAGCAGGGGAUCCAGUGGGGAUGCAUUUCCAGAUCCCAGUGGAUGCCUGAAACUGCAGAUAGUGUCAAAUCCUAUACAGUAUAUGCGAUAUCUUUCCUAUACAUUCAUACUUAUAAUAAAGUUUAUAAAUUAGACACAGAGAUUAAUAGC